Molecule: long non-coding RNA, 309 nt
Organism: Centruroides sculpturatus (bark scorpion)
Lineage: Eukaryota; Metazoa; Arthropoda; Arachnida; Scorpiones; Buthidae
Exons: 3
Source: RefSeq, a predicted model, not a curated record
GGGAAGAAAGCGAGCUUUAAAAGAAGAAGAUUUAUAUGAAACUUCAAAAUAUCAUACUUCGGAAUAUCUUGGGGACCAACUUCAGAAAGAAUGGAACAAGGAACUUCAGAAGAAAAAUCCAAGCAUACUAAAAGCUGUAUUAAGAUUUCUUGGAUGGAAAUACUUGAUAAUAUUUUUACUUGUACUCUUUCAGGAAACAGCGUUAGUUGCCGGCCAAGUAUACUUUUUAGGACAAACAAUAAGUUAUUUGGACAACAGGCAGGAAUUUAAUUUAUACAAAGUUUAUGUAAAACUUGCAGGAUUUUUUGG